CGCGUGAGCGAUGAAGGCCUUCGGGUCGUAAAGCUCUGCCCUCAAGGAAGAUAAUGACGGUACUUGAGGAGGAAGCCCCGGCUAACUACGUGCCAGCAGCCGCGGUAAUACGUAGGGGGCUAGCGUUAUCCGGAUUUACUGGGCGUAAAGGGUGCGUAGGCGGCCUUUUAAGUCAGGAGUGAAAGGCUACGGCUCAACCGUAGUAAGCUCUUGAAACUGGAGGACUUGAGUGCAGGAGAGGAGAGUGGAAUUCCUAGUGUAGCGGUGAAAUGCGUAGAUAUUAGGAGGAACACCAGUAGCGAAGGCGGCUCUCUGGACUGUAACUGACGCUGAGGCACGAAAGCGUGGGGAGCAAACAGGAUUAGAUACCCUGGUAGUCCACGCCGUAAACGAUGAGUACUAGCUGUCGGAGGUUACCCCCUUCGGUGGCGCAGCUAACGCAUUAAGUACUCCGCCUGGGGAGUACGC
Molecule: ribosomal RNA, 468 nt
Filed under: uncultured Peptostreptococcaceae bacterium
Lineage: Bacteria; Bacillati; Bacillota; Clostridia; Peptostreptococcales; Peptostreptococcaceae
Description: bacterial SSU rRNA
Rfam family: Bacterial small subunit ribosomal RNA
Source: RNAcentral